UCCCAAGUAGCUGGGACCACAGACGUGCACCACCAUGCCUGGCAACUUUUCACGUUUGUUUUAUUUUUUGUAGAGACAGGGUCUCCCUAUAUUGUUCAGGCUGGUCUUGAACUUCUGGGCUCAGGGGACCCUCCCGUUUUGGCCUCCCAAAAUGUUGUGUUGGCAGAAACUUUUAUUGAAGUAUAAUUUACUUUACAGAAAGGGGUGCCUGAGUGGUUCACUAAAUUUUUCACAAACUGAAUGCAUCUGUUUAAGCCUCACCAGACUGAGAAACCAACCAACCAACAUUAUCAGCACUGAGUAGCCCCCUAAUGCCCCCUUCUGGUCCAUGCCCAUGCCCACCCCCACCCCAGGCUGACAGCAUACUGACAUCUAACCGUAUGGGCUGGAGUUUCUAGUUUCUGUGCGCUGUAUAGAGAGGACACACGGGAUGUGUACCUAUGUUGUGUCAUCUCUUGUCUCUGGCGUCAUUGGCUUGGUGUUACCUUGGGAGGUGUCCCUGUUGCUGUGUCACUGUAUAUCAUGCAUUCUCAUGCCUGUGUUGUAUUGGCUGGGACUGUUUUUAUCGAAGGGAGCUUGGACACUCUGCAUGAGCCACUGUGCCCGGUCUUGUUGGUGACAUUUUGAAGAAACAUAUUCUUGUACAUUGAUGGUGGGACACCAUUCUCAUGGGGGGCAAUUGGCAUGCCUAUCAAAAUUAGAAAUGGUUCUAGUUACUCAGUAGGCUGAGGCAGGAGGAUCGCUUGAGCCCAGGAGGUUGAGGCUGCAGUGAGCCGUGAUCAUGCCACUGCACUCCAGCCUGAAUGACAAAGCAAAACCCCAUCUCUUUAAAAGAAAAAGGGGGUGGGGAGGGGGAAUGUCCUCAGACCCAGUAAUUCCACCCCUAGGAAUCCAGUUUACACACACAAGAAAUAAAAGAUAAAUGUACAAGGUUAGUCACUGCACAGUGAGAUAGCAAAAGAUUAGAAAGAACCCAAGUGUUUAUUGAUCUGGGGUUUAUUCCUUUAUAGCCCAACUAUAUGAUGGAACACUAUAAUGUUGUAAAAAUGGAUUAAGAGUUCUUUAUGAAUUGGUAUGGAAACAUUGCCAAGAUAUGGAAGCCAAAUGCAGAAAAAUGUACGUGGUAUGCUAUUAUCUAUGUGAAAAAGGCAUUACCAUUCUCUGGAAGGAUAAAUACAGAUUUGAGAAUGGUGGAUAUCUGGGGUGAGAGGUAUCCUUUUCACUGUACUUUAAAAAUUUUGAUAUUUUGGUGUUUGCCUAUUCAAAAAAUGGUUAAAAUCAGUUGCCACCAAUUAAAAAUUAGGAGAAUGCAUAUAAAUAACUGAAUUUCCUGUUUGCUUGUUGCCUUAAGAAUGUGAGUACACUGUUUUUAGUGCCAGAUAUUCUAAUUUAAAACAAUGAGCUAAAUAAAGUCAAGUUGCUUUGGGGGGUCCUGCUCUCCAGGCUUUUCUUAUAC
RNAcentral lists this long non-coding RNA (1456 nucleotides) under Macaca mulatta (Rhesus monkey). RNAcentral describes it as "lncRNA (ENSMMUG00000062321.1)". Lineage: Eukaryota; Metazoa; Chordata; Mammalia; Primates; Cercopithecidae. The record is from RNAcentral.